CAUGACCUUUCAUUUUCUAUUAUAUAUUAUAAUAUAUAUAAUGUAAUAAUAAAUGCUUCUCUCUCUCAGUUCUUUCUCAGUCUCCAUUCUUAUUUUUUCUCUAUUAUUUUCCUAUUUUUCAGAUCUCUUUCUCUUUUUAUCUUCUUCAUCUUAAUAAUCUUGUAGGCGGCUUCAAUUAAGCAUUGGUGCAGCGACGAAGUGCAACGGAGGAGGAGCAGAGGUGCGGCAACGGAGCAGAGCAGAGGAGCAGAUGUUCGACGGCAAGGCGAGACAAGGCAAAGAAAGCUGGGUGCGACGACGAAGUGCAGCGAGGCUUCAUCGUUGUUGGGUCCACCUUCGUCACCUCUGAGAUCUGAAAAAAAAAUGCUCAUUGUCAAUGUCUUUCUUGAAUCUUUUAUUUGUUGAAAAGGACCAGUGGCCCCGAAGAUCAACAACAGGAAAAUGGACAGGUGAAGAGGUAAAUACAAUCUUCUUUGACUAUAACAAGCUUCAAUUUAGCUUUGGAUUGAGCAUUAAGUCAGGUUUGUAGUUCACUUCUAAUUUUCUAUAUGAUAAUCAUAUAUGCUUUUUGAUACCUCUUAUUGUUUCAGUCCGUUCUUUGCUCUUACUUUCAACGCUCCAUUUAUUUCCUCACCGUUUUUGCUCUUGUUUUGGCAAACUUAAAGUCUGUCCAUUUUUAGAAUUUUUUUAUGGCAGUUUUGAUUGAUAAACAAGGGCAUUUGUCUUCCUUAAUGUUGUAUUUGGUUCAUUACUUAUGAAAAUUCACUUGAGUUUGAUUUUGUUUCUAUAUGACAAUUAAGAUUAUGGUGUUUGAUGGCAAGUAUCAUGGUAGAAUGUGUGUUGAUAUUCUCACGAUCUUGCUGCAAUAUGGGUUUUUUAUUUGAGAUCAAUGGAAAAGUCUCUCCUUGUUAAGUGUGGUGGGAAGAAUACAUAUACACUUGGAGAAAUUAAUAAACUCGAAAUGAAUGGGCAGCCAAGCUUCUUGAGCUGAUGAGUCAUAGCUAGAGUAAUUUUUGAAAUCAGAAUUAAAAAGGGACGAUGCUCGUACAUAAAUUGUCAUCUCAUGUACUGCAGGAGGACGAUGCUUGAAUAGGAACUAUCGUCUCAUUUACUGCAGUGGAUGACGCUUGCACAGAAACUGUCGUCUCAUGUACCACAAGAGACAACGUUUGUAUAAGAACCAUCGUCUCAUGUAUGACAGGAGAUGACACUUUCAUUUAAACUGUCGUUUCAUAUUUUACAUGGCAUGACAUUGCUUGGAACAACGCUAUUAUAACCAACGUAUGAGUGUAACGCCCUGGUUACCCCAGAACAAUUACGGUGAACAGUGAACCGGAAAUUUGACUCGCUACCCGAGUCCUUUGGUUAAAAACGUGGUCUAGGUACUAUUAACAGGUUAAGGUGAAAAACCAAUAAAAAGGAAAUGGUA
Molecule: long non-coding RNA, 1429 nt
Organism: Humulus lupulus (European hop)
Lineage: Eukaryota; Viridiplantae; Streptophyta; Magnoliopsida; Rosales; Cannabaceae
Exons: 5
Source: RefSeq, a predicted model, not a curated record